RNAcentral lists this long non-coding RNA (274 nucleotides) under Malus domestica (apple). RNAcentral's name for it is "long non-coding RNA (MDOM_LNC007723)". The record is from RNAcentral. Lineage: Eukaryota; Viridiplantae; Streptophyta; Magnoliopsida; Rosales; Rosaceae.
UUCUUGUGCACAAGAGUUGGAAGUAGAGAUGUGGGUUGAGAGUGUUAAGCAUAUUCUAAUAUGAUUUGUAAUUUAUUUAGGUCUCUUCUAGUUUACUGAAAUGUUGGGCUGUUGAGACCAUCAGAUAAACUUACACCCAACUGAUGAAUGGUAGGGGAAAAAAAAACUGAUGAAUGGUAGGCUCAGUUUAUUUUUGUUUCUUAAUUGUAUACAAGAUCGUCAGACAAACUUACGCUUCUUUAUUUGAUAAAUCAAAUUUGUCUUCUUUAUUUUU